CGGACGGGUGAGUAACACGUGGGUAACCUGCCUGUAAGACUGGGAUAACUCCGGGAAACCGGGGCUAAUACCGGAUAAUUUAGUUCCUCGCAUGAGGAACUGUUGAAAGGUGGCUUUUCGCUACCACUUACAAAUGGACCCGCGGCGCAUUACCUAGUUGGUGAGGUAACGGCUCACCAAGGCAACGAUGCGUACCCAACCUGAAAGGGUGAUCGGCCACCCUGGGACUGAAACACGGCCCAAACUCCUACGGGAGGCAGCAGUAGGGAAUCUUCCGCAAGGGACAAAAGUCUGACGGACCAACGCCGCGUGAGUGAAAAAGGUUUUCGGAUCGUAAAACUCUGUUGUUAGGGAAAAACAAGUGCCGUUCAAAUAGGGCGGCCCCUUGACGGUACCUAACCAAAAAGCCACGGCUAACUACGUGCCACCAGCCGCGGUAAUACGUAGGUGGCAAGCGUUGUCCGGAAUUAUUGGGCGUAAAGCGCGCGCAGGUGGUUUCUUAAGUCUGAUGUGAAAGCCCACGGCUCAACCGUGAAGGGUCAUUGAAAACUGGGAAACUUGAUUGCAAAAAAGGAAAGUGAAAUUCCAAGUGUAGCGUUGAAAUGCGUAGAUAUUUGAAGGAACACCAGUGGCGAAGGCGACUUUCUGGUCUGUA
Molecule: ribosomal RNA, 655 nt
Filed under: Bacillus haikouensis
Lineage: Bacteria; Bacillati; Bacillota; Bacilli; Caryophanales; Bacillaceae
Description: bacterial SSU rRNA
Rfam family: Bacterial small subunit ribosomal RNA
Source: RNAcentral